CCUACGGGAGGCAGUAGUGAGGAAUAUUGGUCAAUGGGCGAGAGCCUGAACCAGCCAAGUCGCGUGAGGGAGUACUGCCCUAUGGGUUGUAAACCUCUUUUGUCGGGGAGCAAAAGCCGGACGUGUCCGGCUGUGAGAGUACCCGAAGAAAAAGCAUCGGCUAACUCCGUGCCAGCAGCCGCGGUAAUACGGAGGAUGCGAGCGUUAUCCGGAUUUAUUGGGUUUAAAGGGUGCGCAGGCGGAUUUUUAAGUCAGCGGUAAAAUCGUGGGGCUCAACCCCAUCCAGCCGUUGAAACUGGGGAUCUAGAGUGUGCGAGAGGUAUGCGGAAUGCGUGGUGUAGCGGUGAAAUGCAUAGAUAGCACGCAGAACCCCGAUUGCGAAGGCAGCAUACCGGUGCACAACUGACGCUCAGGCACGAAAGCGUGGGUAUCGAACAGGAUUAGAUACCCCUGUAGUC
Molecule: ribosomal RNA, 458 nt
Filed under: uncultured bacterium
Lineage: Bacteria
Description: partial 16S ribosomal RNA
Rfam family: Bacterial small subunit ribosomal RNA
Source: RNAcentral